Molecule: ribosomal RNA, 497 nt
Filed under: uncultured bacterium
Lineage: Bacteria
Description: partial 16S ribosomal RNA
Rfam family: Bacterial small subunit ribosomal RNA
Source: RNAcentral
GACGAACGCUGGCGGCGUGCCUAAUACAUGCAAGUUGAGCGAUGAAGAUUUGUGCUUUCACCAAUUUGAAGAGCAGCGAACGGGUGAGUAACGCGUGGGGAAUCUUCCUUUUAUCGGGGGACAACAUUUUGAAACGAAUGCUAAUACCGCAUAACAACUUUAAACAUAAGUUUUAAGUUUGAAAGAUGCAAUUGCAUCACUAAAAGAUGAUUUUAGGGUGUAUUAGUUAGUUGGUGAGGUAAAGGCUCAGCAAGGCGAUGAUACAUAGCCGACUGGAAAGGGUGAUCCGCCAAAAUUGGAAUUAAAAAAGGCCCAAACUACUACGGGAGUCAGCAAUAGGGAAACUUCGGAAAUGGACGAAAGUCUGACCGAGCAAAGCCGCGUGAGUGAAGAAGGUUUUCGGAUCGUAAAAAUCUGUUGGUAGAGAAGAACAUUGGUCAGAGUAAAAAGCUCAUCAAGUGACGGUAACUAACCAGAAAGAAACGGCUAACUACGUG